RNAcentral lists this ribosomal RNA (253 nucleotides) under uncultured bacterium. RNAcentral's name for it is "partial 16S ribosomal RNA". It matches the Rfam family "Bacterial small subunit ribosomal RNA", at positions 524 to 776 of the family's 1533-position model. The record is from RNAcentral.
UACAGAGGUCCCGAGCGUUGUUCGGAUUCACUGGGCGUAAAGGGUGCGUAGGUGGUUGGGUAAGUCUGAUGUGAAAUCUCCGGGCUCAACCCGGAAAUGGCAUUGGAUACUAUUCGGCUAGAGGUUUGGAGGGGGGACUGGAAUUCUCGGUGUAGCAGUGAAAUGCGUAGAUAUCGAGAGGAACACCAGUGGCGAAGGCGGGUCCCUGGACAACACCUGACACUGAGGCACGAAAGCUAGGGGAGCAAACAGG